Molecule: ribosomal RNA, 254 nt
Filed under: uncultured bacterium
Lineage: Bacteria
Description: partial 16S ribosomal RNA
Rfam family: Bacterial small subunit ribosomal RNA
Source: RNAcentral
CACGUAGGGGGCAAGCGUUGUCCGGAUUUAUUGGGCGUAAAGCGCUCGUAGGCGGCUUAGUAAGUCGGGUGUGAAACCUCCAGGCUCAACCUGGAGACGCCACCCGAUACUGCUGUGGCUAGAGUCCGGUAGGGGAGCGUGGAAUUCCUGGUGUAGCGGUGAAAUGCGCAGAUAUCAGGAGGAACACCAGCGGCGAAGGCGGCGCUCUGGGCCGGUACUGACGCUGAGGAGCGAAAGCGUGGGGAGCAAACAGG